RNAcentral lists this ribosomal RNA (305 nucleotides) under uncultured bacterium. RNAcentral's name for it is "bacterial SSU rRNA". It matches the Rfam family "Bacterial small subunit ribosomal RNA", at positions 345 to 667 of the family's 1533-position model. The record is from RNAcentral.
UGGGCAGCAGUGGGGAAUAUUGCACAAUGGGGGGAACCCUGAUGCAGCGACGCCGCGUGAGUGAAGAAGUAUUUCGGUAUGUAAAGCUCUAUCAGCAGGGAAGAAGAUGACGGUACCUGACUAAGAAGCCCCGGCUAACUACGUGCCAGCAGCCGCGGUAAUACGUAGGGGGCAAGCGUUAUCCGGAUUUACUGGGUGUAAAGGGAGCGUAGACGGCAGGGCAAGUCUGGAGUGAAAGCCCGGGGCCCAACCCCGGGACUGCUUUGGAAACUGCCAUGCUGGAGUGCUGGAGGGGAAAGCGGAAU